This 116-nucleotide microRNA precursor is filed under the name Hordeum vulgare. Its description in RNAcentral is "microRNA MIR1122". It matches the Rfam family "MIR1120/MIR1122 microRNA precursor family". The record is from RNAcentral. Lineage: Eukaryota; Viridiplantae; Streptophyta; Magnoliopsida; Poales; Poaceae.
AUAGUAUUCCCUCUGUCCGGAAUUACUUGCCGCAAAAAUGGAUGUAUCUAGACGCAUUUUUAGUUCUAGAUACAUCCAUUUCUACGAGAAAUAAUUCAGGACAUAGGGAGUAUUAU